UACGUAGGUGGCAAGCGUUGUCCGGAAUCAUUGGGCGUAAAGAGCGCGUAGGCGGCUUGUCAGGUCCGAUGUGAAAUCUUGGGGCUCAACCCCAAACGUGCAUCGGAAACCGGCUUGCUAGAGUCUGGGAGAGGAGAGUGGAAUUCCUGGUGUAGCGGUGAAAUGCGUAGAUAUCAGGAGGAACACCGGUUGCGAAGGCGGCUCUCUGGAACAGUACUGACGCUGAGGCGCGAAAGCUAGGGGAGCGAAC
Molecule: ribosomal RNA, 250 nt
Filed under: uncultured bacterium
Lineage: Bacteria
Description: partial 16S ribosomal RNA
Rfam family: Bacterial small subunit ribosomal RNA
Source: RNAcentral